Molecule: ribosomal RNA, 492 nt
Filed under: uncultured bacterium
Lineage: Bacteria
Description: partial 16S ribosomal RNA
Rfam family: Bacterial small subunit ribosomal RNA
Source: RNAcentral
AGUGAACGCUGGCGGUAGGCCUAACACAUGCAAGUCGAACGGCAGCACAGUAAGAGCUUGCUCUUACGGGUGGCGAGUGGCGGACGGGUGAGGAAUACAUCGGAAUCUACUUUUUCGUGGGGGAUAACGUAGGGAAACAUACGCUAAUACCGCAUACGACCUACGGGUGAAAGCAGGGGAUCUUCGGACCUUGCGCGUUUGAAUGAGCCGAUGUCGGAUUAGCUAGUUGGCGGGGUAAAGGCCCACCAAGGCGACGAUCCGUAGCUGGUCUGAGAGGAUGAUCAGCCACACUGGAACUGAGACACGGUCCAGACUCCUACGGGAGGCAGCAGUGGGGAAUAUUGGACAAUGGGCGCAAGCCUGAUCCAGCCAUACCGCGUGGGUGAAGAAGGCCUUCGGGUUGUAAAGCCCUUUUGUUGGGAAAGAAAAGCAGCAGGUUAAUACCCCGCUGUUCUGACGGUACCCAAAGAAUAAGCACCGGCUAACUUCGUG